RNAcentral lists this long non-coding RNA (338 nucleotides) under Panax ginseng (ginseng). Its description in RNAcentral is "long non-coding RNA (PGIN_LNC019162)". The record is from RNAcentral. Lineage: Eukaryota; Viridiplantae; Streptophyta; Magnoliopsida; Apiales; Araliaceae.
GGGGUUCAGUUGAAGGAAUUGGUUGUGGGUUUACCUCAGGAAGUACCUCCUCGUCGCUUUCAGGAUUUAUCUCGCGAAGAGUCCUGGCCUUUUUGGCAGCCUUCUUCCUUCGGCGAGGUCGGAGGACCUCUUCGGGGAUGAUGGGAUUGUCAGCUUCAGGGUCAUCAUCCCGAAGAGGGGUUGUUGUUGGUUCGGGGGCAGGGGGUUCAGUUCGGGAAGGCUCCUCGUUAGGGAGUUCUUCAUUUGCAUCAGUAAUCCUCCCCGCCAAGAAAUCUUCCAAGUCUUUUACUUCCGAGGAAGUUGGUUUGAUCAAAGACACUGCAAAUAAUCACAAGUUA